Molecule: ribosomal RNA, 451 nt
Filed under: uncultured bacterium
Lineage: Bacteria
Description: bacterial SSU rRNA
Rfam family: Bacterial small subunit ribosomal RNA
Source: RNAcentral
GUGGGGAAUAUUGGACAAUGGGGGGAACCCUGAUCCAGCCAUGCCGCGUGUGUGAAGAAGGCCUUUUGGUUGUAAAGCACUUUAAGCGAGGAGGAGGCUACCGAGAUUAAUACUCUUGGAUAGUGGACGUUACUCGCAGAAUAAGCACCGGCUAACUCUGUGCCAGCAGCCGCGGUAAUACAGAGGGUGCGAGCGUUAAUCGGAUUUACUGGGCGUAAAGCGUGCGUAGGCGGCUUUUUAAGUCGGAUGUGAAAUCCCCGAGCUUAACUUGGGAAUUGCAUUCGAUACUGGGAAUCUAGAGUAUGGGAGAGGAUGGUAGAAUUCCAGGUGUAGCGGUGAAAUGCGUAGAGAUCUGGAGGAAUACCGAUGGCGAAGGCAGCCAUCUGGCCUAAUACUGACGCUGAGGUACGAAAGCAUGGGGAGCAAACAGGAUUAGAUACCCCGGUAGUCC